Molecule: ribosomal RNA, 772 nt
Filed under: uncultured Neocallimastigales
Lineage: Eukaryota; Fungi; Neocallimastigomycota; Neocallimastigomycetes; Neocallimastigales
Description: partial large subunit ribosomal RNA
Rfam family: Eukaryotic large subunit ribosomal RNA
Source: RNAcentral
CGUCUAUAUACGUAUAGCAUAUCAAUAAGCGGAGGAAAAGAAACUAACAAGGAUUCCCUUAGUAACGGCGAGUGAAGCGGGAAGAGCUCAAAUUUGAAAUCUUCAAGGUUCUACCUUGACGAAUUGUAGUUUAUAGAAGUGUUUUCUGUUGGAGUUGGCUAAAAGUUCUUUGGAAUAGGACAUCAUAGAGGGUGAGAAUCCCGUAUUUGACCAUUAUUUCAGCUUUGUGAUACACUUUCAAAGAGUCGGAUUGUUUGGGAAUGCAGUCCAAAAUGGGUGGUAAAUUUCAUCUAAAGCUAAAUAUUGGCGAGAGACCGAUAGCGAACAAGUACCGUGAGGGAAAGAUGAAAAGAACUUUGAAAAGAGAGUUAAACAGUACGUGAAAUUGUCAAAAGGGAAGCGUUUGACACCAGUGUUGUUUUUCCGAAAAUCAAUUACGAAUGUUUUGUUUUUGAGGAGUUAUGACUUCAUCGGCUUGCUCCUUUCUUUACGAAACUUUCUUAAUGCACUUUUCGGUUAACAAGUCAACAUCAAUUUCUUUUGUUGUAAAAGGGUAUGAGGAAGGUGGCUUUCUUUUCGGAGAAAGUGUUUAUAGCCUUGUGCCUCUGCAAUCGGAGAGAUUGAGGUCUGCAGCGUAGAUCCUUCGGGGUUAGAUACAGUUUGUGCUAAGUUAUAGCUUUUCAUAGACAACUUGUUGACUAUGUUUAGUCAUGCGGCUUACUCGCUUAUGCUAUUUUACCUACGCUUAGGAUGUUGACUGAUAUGUAGUCGU